GAACAACAGUACUACGUGAGCAGGACUCGAAUUUGGGUCAGUCGAUCCUAAGAUACUGGCUAAUAUAUUGAACCAUCGCGAAGGAAAGGUUUCUCUCUUCUUGAACAUCAAGGGGAGUCAAGGUAAAUGCUCCGUUAUGCGAACACGGAGAUCACGGCCCUUUGAGUCGUUUGCUCGCUAACGCAUUCGAUCUUGGUUACGUCGCUAAGAGACUGAGCUAGAGUUCUCUUAUUAAGAAAAGUACAUCAUAGAACUGGCUUAUAUAUUGUACUACUGUAUGAGGAAAGUUUCUUCAUUAGCAGAGACCAAAACGAAUCAAGGUUGAUAUUCUCUUAUGCAGACACUUUUAUUACGGCCCUUUGAGUCGUUUGCUCGCUAACGCGUUCGAACUUGGUUGCGUCGUUAAGAGACUGAGCCAGAGUUCUCUUCUCUAGUUAAGAAACGGAUGCUCUAGAGUCGAUUCAGUAGGGGUGUUGUUUCCGUAAAGCAUCGCGGUUUCUGUGAUAUCUUGUGCUUUCUGGACGAGCCAUGAAAGAUCAAAGAAGGCUACUAAUCCGUGCUGCAUCGUACCAAUAUCCGCAUCACUUUUCC
This 591-nucleotide non-coding RNA is filed under the name Ancylostoma ceylanicum. RNAcentral's name for it is "Eukaryotic large subunit ribosomal RNA". It matches the Rfam family "Eukaryotic large subunit ribosomal RNA", at positions 1499 to 1868 of the family's 3401-position model. Lineage: Eukaryota; Metazoa; Nematoda; Chromadorea; Rhabditida; Ancylostomatidae. The record is from Rfam by way of RNAcentral.